AUUGAACGCUGGCGGCAUGCCUUACACAUGCAAGUCGAACGGUAACGCGGGGCAACCUGGCGACGAGUGGCGAACGGGUGAGUAACGCAUCGGAACGUGCCCAGUAGUGGGGGAUAGCCCGGCGAAAGCCGGAUUAAUACCGCAUACGACCUACGGGUGAAAGGGGGGGAUCGCAAGACCUCUCGCUAUUGGAGCGGCCGAUGUCAGAUUGGGUAGUUGGUGGGGUAAAGGCCAACCAAGCCUUCGAUCUUUAGCUGGUCUGAGAGGACGACCAGCCACACUGGGACUGAGACACGGCCCAGACUCCUACGGGAGGCAGCAGUGGGGAAUUUUGGACUAUGGGCGCAAGCCUGAUCCAGCCAUGCCGCGUGCGGGAAGAAGGCCUUCGGGUUGUAAACCGCUUUUGUCAGGGAAGAAACGCUCUGGGCUAAUACCCCGGGGUAAUGACGGUACCUGAAGAAUAAGCACCGGCUAACUACGUGCCAGCCGCCGCAGUAA
RNAcentral lists this ribosomal RNA (498 nucleotides) under uncultured bacterium. RNAcentral describes it as "partial 16S ribosomal RNA". It matches the Rfam family "Bacterial small subunit ribosomal RNA", at positions 29 to 523 of the family's 1533-position model. The record is from RNAcentral.